Gopherus flavomarginatus (Mexican gopher tortoise) is the source of this 179-nucleotide long non-coding RNA. RefSeq lists it as uncharacterized. The record is from RefSeq and is a predicted model, not a curated record. The transcript is spliced from 3 exons. Lineage: Eukaryota; Metazoa; Chordata; Testudines; Testudinidae.
CUGCAGGUCGGGAGUGAGGGGCACCGCGGGGGCUGUGGGUCAGGGUUGGGGUGCACCAGCCGAGCCGGGGGGGACUGUAGGUCGGGAGUGAGGGGCACCGGGGGGCUGUGGGUUGGGAGUGAGGGGCACCGCGGGGGCUGUGGGUCAGGGUUGGGGUGCACCGGCCGGGCCGGGGGGGG